GACGAACGCUGGCGGCGUGCUUAACACAUGCAAGUCGAACGGAAAGGCCCUGCUUUUGUGGGGUGCUCGAGUGGCGAACGGGUGCGUAACACGUGAGUAACCUGCCCUUGACUUUGGGAUAACUUCAGGAAACUGGGGCUAAUACCGGAUAGGAGCUCCUGCUGCAUGGUGGGGGUUGGAACGUUUCGGCGGUUGGGGAUGGACUCGCGGCUUAUCAGCUUGUUGGUGGGGUAGUGGCUUACCAAGGCUUUGACGGGUAGCCGGCCUGAGAGGGUGACCGGCCACAAUGGUACUGAGAUACGGCCCAGACUCCUACGGGAGGCAGCAGUGGGGAAUAUGGCACAAUGGGCGGAAGCCUGAUGCAGCAACGCCGCGGGCGGGAUGACGGCCUGCGGGUUGUAAACCGCUUUCGCCUGUGACGAAGCGUGAGUGACGGUAAUGGGUAAAGAAGCACCGGCUAACUACGUG
RNAcentral lists this ribosomal RNA (468 nucleotides) under uncultured bacterium. Its description in RNAcentral is "partial 16S ribosomal RNA". It matches the Rfam family "Bacterial small subunit ribosomal RNA", at positions 28 to 507 of the family's 1533-position model. The record is from RNAcentral.